Molecule: ribosomal RNA, 503 nt
Filed under: uncultured bacterium
Lineage: Bacteria
Description: partial 16S ribosomal RNA
Rfam family: Bacterial small subunit ribosomal RNA
Source: RNAcentral
AUUGAACGCUGGCGGCAGGCUUAACACAUGCAAGUCGAGCGGGGUGAUGGUGCUUGCACUAUCACUUAGCGGCGGACGGGUGAGUAAUGCUUAGGAAUCUGCCUAUUAGUGGGGGACAACAUCUCGAAAGGGAUGCUAAUACCGCAUACGUCCUACGGGAGAAAGCAGGGGAUCACUUGUGACCUUGCGCUAAUAGAUGAGCCUAAGUCGGAUUAGCUAGUUGGUGGGGUAAAGGCCUACCAAGGCGACGAUCUGUAGCGGGUCUGAGAGGAUGAUCCGCCACACUGGGACUGAGACACGGCCCAGACUCCUACGGGAGGCAGCAGUGGGGAAUAUUGGACAAUGGGGGGAACCCUGAUCCAGCCAUGCCGCGUGUGUGAAGAAGGCCUUAUGGUUGUAAAGCACUUUAAGCGAGGAGGAGGCUUACCUAGUUAAUACCUGGGAUAAGUGGACGUUACUCGCAGAAUAAGCACCGGCUAACUACGUGCCAGCCGCCGCCGUAA